UAUGAUUCAGACUUUGAGGAUU
This 22-nucleotide small nuclear RNA is filed under the name Arabidopsis thaliana (thale cress). RNAcentral describes it as "snRNA_03918". The record is from RNAcentral. Lineage: Eukaryota; Viridiplantae; Streptophyta; Magnoliopsida; Brassicales; Brassicaceae.